Molecule: long non-coding RNA, 4730 nt
Organism: Carcharodon carcharias (great white shark)
Lineage: Eukaryota; Metazoa; Chordata; Chondrichthyes; Lamniformes; Lamnidae
Exons: 2
Source: RefSeq, a predicted model, not a curated record
CCCUCCACCUCCUCGAGCCAAGGUUUCCAGGCUGACGGCUCCGGCCAGAGCGAGAAGCCGCUCAGAGAACUCGGGAGAGGGGAAGCUGCGCAUGUGCAGGGGAGAGCCCGCCCGCUUUCCGCCUGCAUGCGGAGCGAUUGACCAUUGGGAAGAGUUGGAGGACCGGAAAGACACUGGCCCUCCAGGCAAUCAGAGCGCGGAAUUUGUGUGAAUGAAGAUUGAGCUUCACACAGACUAAAACUUCCUCCUGUGUCCAACAUCUGAUAUUAGAAGAGGAGGAUUUGCAAACAGAAAUCUCAAACCGAACUUCACAUCAAGAUCUGACAGAGUCACUCAAUUCAUCAAGUCCUGAAUAUCAUCAGCCUUUGUAUCUGGGAGAAAUGUUUGUCUGUUCUGUCUACUUCAUAAGAUUUCAAACAUCAAUGUGGCUGGAAAAACACCGAGACACACACACACACCUGAGUGAGAGUGUUUCCAGUGCACUGACUGUGGAAAGAGCUUUAACCAGUUACACAGACUGAAAAAACAUCACCACAUUCACAACGGGGGGGAAACUGUACACGUGUUCUCUGUGUGGGCGAAGCUUCAACUGAUCAUCGGCCCUGGAGAGACACAAAGACACCUGCAACAUGGAGAAACCGUGGAAAUGUGGCGACUGUGGGAAGGGAUUCAAAUCCCCAUCUGCACUGGACACCCAUCGACGCAUUCACACUGGGGAGAGGCCCUUCAUCUGCUCCGUGUGUGGGAAGGGAUUCACUAAGUCAUCGAACCUGCUGACACACAAGCGAGUUCACACUGGGGAGAGGCCUUUCAUCUGCUCCGUGUGUGGGAAGAGAUUCACUGAGUCAUCCAGCCUGCGGAGACAUCAGAAACUUUUCAACUGAUUACAGACUUUGGGUUUUGCUUUUAUCACUGCUGUUAAUCUCAUCCAGGACUGAACCAUGUUUAUUCUGAUUGUUGGUGAAGUGGGAGAGUAGGAGGGUUUCUUUCUGCUGGUCUGACCAGUCUUACGACUUUGCUUCCAGUGGCAAAUGCUCAUUGAGACUUUUUGCGAAUAUCUAGUUUCAUAUUUCAUGUGAAUUACAGAAUGAAAGGGUGUUUGGAAUGGAAAAGGUAUUUAGUGUGAAACUGUUUGGAACUCCCCAGGGCAUGCUAGGUUGCCUUGGAGAUGGGCUGUGCUGGUUGGAAGGUUCUUUUCUUUAAUUUUUCUGGGUGUUUCUCGCAGAAGGAAACUACAAAGGUACCAGUGUAAGCUGCCUGUGGUAGAUUGGGAAACUACAUUAAAAGUUAUGAUGCUAGACAGACAAUUUAAGGAAUGCAGAGGCAGUCACUUAGUGGUAUUGUCACUGAACUAGUAAUCCAGAGACAUAGGGUAAUCGUCUGGGGUCGUGGGUUUGUAUCUCACCAUGGCAGAUGAUGCAAUUUGAAUUCAAUCAGUAAAAAUCUGGAAUUAAUUGAAGAAAUGUUCCUUGCUUCCCCAAAACAAAUUGAACCAAUCAGCUUGGAGCCUCUUCUAACUGUAAACCAUAACUUGUAUCUAAACAGGGUGUCCUGGAACACCUGGUGCUCUGACCUCUUCCUGACCUUAACACUAGUUUUUUUUCCAUAAAGCUACAUUUCAGUAUCUGGAACUUAAAGAGCCAGGCACUUGAAGACUUUUCAUCAUUAAGCUUACAAUUUGAUAAUGUGGCCUUAUUAAUUACACAGAUGUAUCACGGAGGUGAAGUCUAACAGCCAACACUGAUAAAGUAUUGAUAAUGUUCAUUCUGGCACUUGGUGUGGGAGGGUCGGAGGGUUUCUUUCUGCUGGACUGACCAGUCUCAUGACUUUGCUUCCAGUGGCUGAUGCUCUUUGACCCUGGGAGUGCACAUUUCCACUUUAUUUUAUCCUGGAUAGUAAAUAGUGUUUUUCUUACCACUACAGGUAGAUCUAAAAUAAAUACAUUUGUCUCUGUUCCAUUGAGUUUACAGCACAGGGCCAGGCCAGUGGGCUCAAUUGGUUUCUGUUAGCAUUUAUGCUCCACAUGAUCCUCCACCCACCCCUCUUCAUCUCCCCCCAUCAGCAUAUCCUUCUAUUCCUUUCUCCCUCAUGUAUGUAUCUAGCUUCCCCUUAACUGUAUUCAUGCUAUUCACCUCAACCACUCGCUGUGGCAGUAAGUUCCACAUUCUCACCACCCAUUUGGUAAAGACAUUUCUCAUGAAAUCCUGAUUGGAUUUUGAACCCCUUCAUAUUUUUAAAGACUUCCAUCAGGUCAUCCUUCAGUCUUCCCUUUUCUAGAGAAAAGCAGCCCAGCCUUUCCUGAGGGUUAAAUUUUCCCAGUUCUGGUAUUAUUCCUGUUGCCCAUUCUGCUGUGCCUCUAUUUCCUUUUUCUAAAUGGAGAUCACAAAUGUUGACAGUAUUCCCAGUGUAGUCUAACCAUGGUUCGAAACAAGUUGAACAUAACCUCCCUGCUUUUCACUUCUAUCCCUCUAGAAUGGAGCCCUAUGUCUGGGCCCCACACUUUAGGAAAGAUGUGACGUUCUUAGAGAGGGAGCAAAGGAGAUUUACGAGAAUGGCACCAGAGAUAAGGGACUUCAGUUAGUUGGAGAGGUUGGAGCCACUGAAAUUUCUGUCUUUGGAACAUGCAGUCAUUAGGACACACAAGGAGGCCAUUCUGCCCAUCAAGUCCAUAUUUCCCUGAAGUGCCCAUCCAAUUGCUUUUGCUCAUCAUCUCUGCUCCCACCCUCCUCAUCGUUAGCGACUUCCAGGUCAUUACCACUCGCUGUGUAAAAAUAUUCUUCCUCACAUUCCCCCCUGCAUCUCCUGACCAAAACUUUAAAUCUGUGUCCCUCUCAUCUCUGUACCAUCAGCUGAUGGGAACAGCUUUUCUUUCUCCACCUUAUCGAAAUCAGUCAUAGUCUUGUGCACCUCUAUCAAAUCUCCCCUCAACCUCCUUUGCUCCAAGGAGAACUACCCCAGCCUGACGUCUACAAUAAAGAGCAAACAAAAGAUGUUAAUGCCUGAAAUCAAUUGGGAAGGCUUGAUUUCUGUUUUAAAGAUAUGAUGAAUAUAUUUUAUUGGACAGGAAAGGAAUUGGAGUAACUCACCCGGGUGAUCAGUGGAAUGUAUCAAUCUGGUAUCCACUUACAUUCUAGUGAAAGUCAGGGAGGUGUAGAUGAGAUGAAUAAGUUGAUAGAUUUCUCUGGGAGAUAUUUACAUCCUUACCUAUGUAUUUUGUUAUAAAGAAAACCACAUUUGACACCUUGGCCACCACCUGAAAUAUCAGGACCAUAACAGGGGGAGAUAAGCAAAGACAGACACUCACUUUGAUCUUUUGAUAAGCGCACCUGAAAGUUCAGAAUAUGUGGCCUGACGUUGGGAUACCUGUGUGAGUGUGCAGAUGUGAUUUGUUACAUGUGAAGACAAUAGCACAUGUAAAUUCAUGGUGAAGUGGACUAAAAACUGGGUCCCAAACGUGUACAGCUACUGAACAAACAGUCUGACAUGAAAUGGUUAAUGUGACCAGGAGAAUGAGACAAAAUAUUUUGACAUUAUCAAGGUAUUGACACAUACUCCAGAGAGAAACUGACUUUAAAACAAUCAGUACAGAAUUAAACACAUUGGUCAUGGUCACAAAAUGAGUAAAAUUGAAGUAACAGAGAUAAACAUUUGGAUUGGAAUAAUUAAGGGCUUGGGAGAAAUAAUACUGAGUGAGAACUGUCCACAAGUUGGACAGGGGUAAGGAGAGAGCUGGAGAAUCUUUUACAUCCAUGCUUGAUCUGUUGCUUGAAGCAUAUGUCCUUAUGUACUAGUAAUCUAGAACUCACGGUGCUCCUUCAGGAGAAGAAAAGAUCGAGUAGAUGUUACCCCAGGCAGGGUAGGAACACAACUUACUAGGAAAGCAAGAGAGUGAAAUUGAGUGAGGGGUCAGAGAGAGUUCUCCUCUCCCUCAAGGUGUGGACUGUAAGAAUCCUGGGGGACCUCCUACUUCGGGUUUUCUUUCUAAUUAGUGAACACUGAAUUAAAAACUGUGCCUGGAUGUGCAUUUAUUUUUAAUUUGAUUGUUACACUUCUCCUGUUUUUAUUCCUGUUGUGAUUAUUCUCUGGUUGAGGAUGGUUGACAGGUGACAGGAAGGGAAAUUGUAGUUUGGGUCUUCAUUGAUCAAAUGUUUCUUUGUCCCGAAAGGUGUAAAAGGGGCCAAACUUCAGCAGAAAACUGGCAGAGCUUGAACAGACAACUUGCUUUGUGGGAACAGGGAGAUGAACAGCUCCCAGAGGACAGAGAAAACAAGAGUGCCUUGAAUCCUAGACGACACCUGGGUGUCAAGGCCACCAUGUUUUCACUGCUUGGCAUGGGAAUGCUGACUCCCUGUACUGGGGAUGGAGCGUGGGAAGCCAAUUGUUUGAGAGUUUGACGUGGCUUGGGCAGGUACAGAUGGUUCAAUGACAGGUUUUGUAAUUGGUCCGUUCAAAUGUUAGCUCGGCAAUAAUUGGGUUAAAUCAGUCUCCAUAGACUUUGUGAUGUAAAAAAGUAUCAGAAGGGAUUCCCCGAGCACAGAGAUUUGUAGAGGUUUUACAUAUUGCAUUGACUGGUGCCAUGGCAUCUGGGGCAGAGCAGGGAGCAUUUACGUGGAGAUGGUGCUUCUACCCAGAGUGUAAUGGUAAUGUUGCUGCACUUUGAUACUACUGCUCAGACAUGAGCAUGUGUCAGGUUUUAUUUAUACUGAAUAAAAUCUAACCACCGCCACCAA